CCUUUCUCACAAACCACACGAAGCCAUACAUUUUCUCUUUUUAAUUUUACUUUCCCAAAUUUUCUCUUUUCCCCUAAAUUUUGUAAAAAAAACCCGAACUUUCCCCUCAUAUUUCUCUUGUCAAUCGCAACCCCCACGUCUCUUCCGCCUGCUCGAUCGCAAGCCCCCGUUCAUUGCAAGUCGCCGCUGAAGACGUUACAUUCGUUCGCUGCUGAAGACGUUAUGUUCGUCCGCUGCUGAAGAUUUGGUGUGUUCGUCCAUCGUCGUUCAGAACAGAAGAAAUCAAAAGACCAAAACCAUCUUAGACAUCAAUGGUCAGUAUCAUCAGGCCUCCAUUGAUUAGACUCUAAAGCUAAGCAAUUGGGUUAAAAGCUAAGUGAUCGUUGAAGGUUGAAGAUUGUAAAGGCAUGCGUUAGAUGAGGUGCGGGUUGAGUUGGCUGAUUUUUUGGGUUCGUACAUAUGAUUGCGACUUAUUUUUUAUUCUGAAGCAAGAAACUUUUUGUUGUAGCUGAUUUUUUGAAUUAUUCAUAUGGAGGGGGUCGAUUGGUAUACUUUUGAGAUUUUGUUGUGGUAACAAUUUUGAAACUUUCUUGAUAGGUUAUUUGUUCAUAUGGGGAUGAUAGGUGAAUUGUUCAUAAGAGUUGAAUUGUUCUGAAACUCUGAUGGAAUUGUAUAUUAGUUUUGUAAAUGAUAGGAAUAUUUGAAAAGUUUCGAAAAUGAUAUGGUUGAAGAUUUUAUAUUUGAUGAA
Molecule: long non-coding RNA, 748 nt
Organism: Cucumis melo (muskmelon)
Lineage: Eukaryota; Viridiplantae; Streptophyta; Magnoliopsida; Cucurbitales; Cucurbitaceae
Exons: 3
Source: RefSeq, a predicted model, not a curated record